This is a long non-coding RNA of Neltuma alba, 493 nucleotides long. RefSeq lists it as uncharacterized. Lineage: Eukaryota; Viridiplantae; Streptophyta; Magnoliopsida; Fabales; Fabaceae. The record is from RefSeq and is a predicted model, not a curated record. The transcript is spliced from 2 exons.
CAUCAGCCUCAGUUUCAUCCAGUUCACCAGAACCAUCAAACUAUGCAUCAGAGUCAGCAUGCAGGCCCCUAUUCUCACAACAAUCACUGUGGUCCUUCCUCACACUUACCUGAAAUUUCUCAUGCUCACCAGUCACCAACAAUAUCUCAACAGUUGCCCUGCUUACAACCACUCACAAGUGGCCAUGUUGGUGGACGCCUGCAUAUACUGCCAUCGAGUCCUGCAAAGUUUUGUGAUGAAUGUGGGGCCCCAUUUCUGAGAGAAGCAUCUAAAUUUUGCUCCGAGUGUGGUUCAAAGAGGUUUGGAAUAUGAUAUUGAGUGUUCAAACUUCGAAGUGCAGCCAUAUUCGUGAGUUGGGUUUGUCCUCACCAUUCGUCCUAGUUCUGAUCAAAUGUCUUCAUAGUUCAUGUAUAAAUUAGCUUUCCUAAGCAUUUUCACAUUUUUGGGAAAUGCAUUUAAUCAUGUAAAUAGUAAGAGAAAAUUGUUUGCAUUA